GACGAACGCUGGCGGCGUGCCUAAUACAUGCAAGUCGAGCGAAGUUUUUCUGGUGCUUGCACUAGAAAAACUUAGCGGCGAACGGGUGAGUAACACGUAAAGAACCUGCCUCAUAGACUGGGACAACUAUUGGAAACGAUAGCUAAUACCGGAUAACAGUAUUUCUCGCAUGAGAGAUAUUUAAAAGUUGGUUAUGCUAACACUAUGAGAUGGCUUUGCGGUGCAUUAGCUAGUUGGUGGGGUAAAGGCCCACCAAGGCGACGAUGCAUAGCCGACCUGAGAGGGUGAUCGGCCACACUGGGACUGAGACACGGCCCAGACUCCUACGGGAGGCAGCGGUAGGGAAUCUUCCGCAAUGGGCGAAAGCCUGACGGAGCAACGCCGCGUGAGUGAAGAAGGAUUUCGGUUCGUAAAGCUCUGUUGUUAGGGAAGAAUGGAUAUGUAGUAACUAUACAUGUAAGAGACGGUACCUAACCAGAAAGCCACGGCUAACUACGUG
This 499-nucleotide ribosomal RNA is filed under the name uncultured bacterium. Its description in RNAcentral is "partial 16S ribosomal RNA". It matches the Rfam family "Bacterial small subunit ribosomal RNA", at positions 28 to 507 of the family's 1533-position model. The record is from RNAcentral.